Molecule: ribosomal RNA, 253 nt
Filed under: uncultured bacterium
Lineage: Bacteria
Description: partial 16S ribosomal RNA
Rfam family: Bacterial small subunit ribosomal RNA
Source: RNAcentral
UACGUAGGGUGCAAGCGUUGUCCGGAUUUAUUGGGCGUAAAGAGCUCGUAGGCGGUCUGUCGCGUCGGAUGUGAAAACCCAGGGCUCAACCCUGGGCCUGCAUUCGAUACGGGCAGACUAGAGUACGGCAGGGGAGACUGGAAUUCCUGGUGUAGCGGUGGAAUGCGCAGAUAUCAGGAGGAACACCGGUGGCGAAGGCGGGUCUCUGGGCCGUUACUGACGCUGAGGAGCGAAAGCGUGGGGAGCGAACAGG